This 2395-nucleotide transfer RNA is filed under the name bacterium. RNAcentral describes it as "bacterial LSU rRNA". It matches the Rfam family "Bacterial large subunit ribosomal RNA", at positions 1 to 1865 of the family's 2925-position model. The record is from RNAcentral.
UAGGAAAUUAAGGGUAUACGGUGGAUGCCUAGACUCUAGAAGGCGAUGAAGGACGUGGCGUGGCUGCGAUAAGCUUCGGGGAGAUGCCUAGCAAUCUUUGAUCCGGAGAUUUCCGAAUGGGGAAACCCGGCCAGUAAUGGUCACCUUAACUCUAGUUAAGGAGUACACCCAGGGAAGUGAAACAUCUCAGUACCUGGAGGAAAAGAAAACAAGCUGUACUUGUACAGCACAUUUCCGGAGUAGCGGCGAGCGAAAUGGAAACAGCCCAAACCUGACAUCACCUUUACUGUCUGGAUAGUCAGAUGGUAAAGGUGGCGCCGGGGGUAGUAAGGCAAUGACGUUGCUUUUAAAGCAAGAGGAGUUACAAAUUGUUUUGUUAGCGGAAGCUUCUGGGAAGAAGCACCCAAGAGGGUAAUAGUCCUGUACGUGAAAAUAAAACAACUCUUUUGUUGUUGUCCUUGAGUAGCUCAAGACACGAAAAGCUUGAGUGAAUCUGCCAGAACUAACUGGUAAGGCUAAAUACUUUUAGAGAUCGAUAGUGAACUAGUACCGUGAGGGAAAGGUGAAAAGCAGUCCGGUGAGGACAGUGAAAUAGACCUGAAACCGUAUAUCUACAAGGAGUCGAAGAGGAUCUAAUCCUCGACGGCGUGCCUAUUGAAGAAUGAGCCAACGAGUUUAUGUAUAUUGCAGGCUAAGCACUCUCGUGCGGAGCCAUAGGGAAACCGAGUGUUAAUAGCGCGAAAUAAUUGUAGUGUGCAUAAGACCCGAAACCAAGUGAGCUUGCCAUGGGCAGGGUGAACAUCUGAGAAAUCAGGUGGGAGGCCCGAACCGGUUGGUCGUGCAAUUCCAUCGGAUGACCUGUGGUAAGAAGUGAAAAGCUAAUCGAACUUGGUAAUAGCUGGUUCUCUCCGAAAUAGCUUUAGGGUUAGCGUCUUGUGUUCCCUUUGGGGGUAGAGCACUGGAAGGUGAGAAUAGGGGGAAACCUCGUCUCUCCUAUCAAACUCCGAAUACCAAAGAUUAAUAACAAGGCAGUUAGACUACGGGGGCGAAGCUCCGUCGGUCGAAAGGGAAACAGCCCAGAUCUCAAGUUAAGGUCCCUAAAUUCAUACUAAGUGCACUUAAGGAGGUGGGAUUCCUCUGACAAUGAGGAGGUUGGCUUAGAAGCAGCCACCCUUUAAAGAAAGCGUAACAGCUCACUCAUUCAGGGAUCCUGCGCCGCAGAUAAUCGGGGCUAAGUAUGAUACCGAAACUGAGGGCUUGUGAGUUUCAUUGAGGAAAAAAUAGAGACGAGAGGUGUUAGUAACUCCAGAUCAGCUUGCUGGGGAGAAUCGCAUCUCUUUAGGUGUGGAUUAAGGUGUGAGCUCCGACACGUGAGCAUUGCGCCUCCGCGCCGCCAGGAGGGUUAAGUUCCUAGGAGGCUGUGAGAGGACCGAAGCUGCGGGCCAAUCACAAACUCCGAAGUUCAAGUCGGCUUUGUCGGCGCCCUCCUCACCGUUCUUUUGGAGCAAGUGCUCCUAAAUUUGUUUGUUUGACUCCUGGUAGCUCAGCCUGGUAGAGCAGUGACCUCCAAAGCCAUUUGUCGCAAGUUCAAAUCUUGCCCGGGAGGCCAAACAAAAUUUUCCGAAAUUGUUGAGGACAACAAUUUCGGAUCCUCAAUGAAAUUCAUAAGCGGUAGGAGAGCGUUCUGUUCUGCAAUGAAGCUGAAGGGAUAACCCACAGUGGAGCGUACAGAAGUGAGAAUGUUGGCACGAGUAACCGCAAUCAGGGUGAGAUUCCCUGACGCCGAAAAUCCAAGGUUUCCUUGGCGAUGAUAAUCAGCCAAGGGUUAGUCGGUCCUAAGGUGAUCCCGAAAGGGGGAAUCGAUGGACACAUGGUUAAUAUUCCAUGACUUUAUUAUUGUGUGAUGGGGUGACGGAGUGUUGUACUUUAAGCGCAUUAUCGGAUUUGCGUCCGUGCUUUGAGGGUGCCUCUUAGGUAAAUCCGGGGGGCCUUGCCCGAGAUGAGCGGAAAUCUAGCGGCUUCGGCCAAAGGAAAUUUAAAGGAGCACGCUUCCAAGAAAAACCUCUAAGCUUAGCAAUAGUAAAACCGUACCAAAACCGACACAGGUGGAUAGGUCGAGUAGACCAAGGCGAACGAGUGAAAGGUCCUCAAGGAACUCGGCAAAACAGCGGCCGUACCUUCGGAAUAAGGCCUGCCCCCACCACUUUGUACAUUUCAGAGUGGUGGAGAGUAAACUUGAGAAAAGAUAAAGAAAAAGAGAUAAAGAGCUCUCUAUCAUUUUGGCGAAGUGUCCAAAGUGGUGGGGGCCGCAGCGAAAGAUCCCUGGCGACUGUUUAUCAAAAACACAGCUCCCUGCGAACUCGUAAGAGGAUGUAUAGGGGGUGACGCCUGACCA